This 74-nucleotide transfer RNA is filed under the name Chloroflexota bacterium. Its description in RNAcentral is "tRNA-Gln". It matches the Rfam family "tRNA". Rfam says of the family: Transfer RNA (tRNA) molecules are approximately 80 nucleotides in length. Their secondary structure includes four short double-helical elements and three loops (D, anti-codon, and T loops). Further hydrogen bonds mediate the characteristic L-shaped molecular structure. tRNAs have two regions of fundamental functional importance: the anti-codon, which is responsible for specific mRNA codon recognition, and the 3' end, to which the tRNAs corresponding amino acid is attached (by aminoacyl-tRNA synthetases). tRNAs cope with the degeneracy of the genetic code in two manners: having more than one tRNA (with a specific anti-codon) for a particular amino acid; and 'wobble' base-pairing, i.e. permitting non-standard base-pairing at the 3rd anti-codon position. RNAcentral also lists the same sequence under 2 other names. Lineage: Bacteria; Bacillati; Chloroflexota. The record is from RNAcentral.
UGGGGAUUAGUAUAGUGGUAAUACGUCAGAUUCUGGUUCUGAAAUCCGGGGUUCAAAUCCUCGAUCCCCAGCCA